AACCCUUAUCCUUUGUUGCCAGCGGUCCGGCCGGGAACUCAAAGGAGACUGCCAGUGAUAAACUGGAGGAAGGUGGGGAUGACGUCAAGUCAUCAUGGCCCUUACGACCAGGGCUACACACGUGCUACAAUGGCAUAUACAAAGAGAAGCGACCUCGCGAGAGCAAGCGGACCUCAUAAAGUAUGUCGUAGUCCGGAUUGGAGUCUGCAACUCGACUCCAUGAAGUCGGAAUCGCUAGUAAUCGUAGAUCAGAAUGCUACGGUGAAUACGUUCCCGGGCCUUGUACACACCGCCCGUCACACCAUGGGAGUGGGUUGCAAAAGAAGUAGGUAGCUUAACCUUCGGGAGGGCGCUUACCACUUUGUGAUUCAUGACUGGGGUGAAGUCGUAACAAGGUAACCGUAGGGGAACCUGCGGUUGGAUCCCCUCCUUACCUUAAAGAA
This 443-nucleotide ribosomal RNA is filed under the name Klebsiella pneumoniae. RNAcentral describes it as "bacterial SSU rRNA". It matches the Rfam family "Bacterial small subunit ribosomal RNA", at positions 1100 to 1533 of the family's 1533-position model. Lineage: Bacteria; Pseudomonadati; Pseudomonadota; Gammaproteobacteria; Enterobacterales; Enterobacteriaceae. The record is from RNAcentral.